This is a non-coding RNA of Aegilops tauschii subsp. strangulata, 604 nucleotides long. The record is from RefSeq and is a predicted model, not a curated record. Lineage: Eukaryota; Viridiplantae; Streptophyta; Magnoliopsida; Poales; Poaceae.
AGGUGGUUCCCCGCUCCGGCGGCGGCUCAACUCCAAUCUGCAGAACACCGGAUCUGCCAAGGGCAAGGCCCUCGUCCACGGAUCUGAAGGGGAAAAAUCAUUUUCUUCGUUGUUUCGUCACAGAACUGAGCAAUGUUGAUGGUCAAGUGUGCCGUGGCGGCGAGGCCACAUUCCUUGCCGGAAACGCUGGUUCGGGAGCUACAAGUGGCUGGACAAGAAGAAUCAUGCUGAUAUGGUCUGUAUCAUGAACCCUGAAGUAGAAGGCUGCAUUUUCCUACUGUUGUGAUCUUGUAAUAUUGCCUUCUGGCCAAAUCAGCAAAAUCCCUGGUUGAAGCUGCGCAAGCUCUGUUUCUUUGGCUGUUGUUCCCUCUCAGCAAUCCAUUCGACUCGGGUAUAUGUUUGUAAUUAUUGUAAUGGAUUUGUACCAUUUGUGAACCAUGUCAAAUUGUUAAGGUGGGUGAUGGGUAUUACAACUAUGUAUGCAUGGUUGCUAGUUCUGUGCGUAGAACUUGAUCUGUGUAUUAGUCAAAACCGACACAUGUUGUGUGUUAGCUUAACAGGAAGAAACUGCAAUUGUCAAUGAGAGCAAUAUGUCGAGAAGGGA